This 251-nucleotide ribosomal RNA is filed under the name uncultured bacterium. RNAcentral describes it as "partial 16S ribosomal RNA". It matches the Rfam family "Bacterial small subunit ribosomal RNA", at positions 524 to 776 of the family's 1533-position model. The record is from RNAcentral.
UACGUAGGGUGCAAGCGUUAAUCGGAAUUACUGGGCGUAAAGCGUGCGCAGGCGGUGAUGUAAGACAGUUGUGAAAUCCCCGGGCUCAACCUGGGAACUGCAUCUGUGACUGCAUCGCUGGAGUGCGGCAGAGGGGAUGGAAUUCCGCGUGUAGCAGUGAAAUGCGUAGAUAUGCGGAGGAACACCGAUGGCGAAGGCAAUCCCCUGGGCCUGCACUGACGCUCAUGCACGAAAGCGUGGGAGCAAACAGG